CAGUCGAGGGGCAGCGGGGGUAGCAAUACCCGCCGGCGACCGGCGCACGGGUGAGUAACGCGUAUGCAACUUACCUAUCAGAGGGGGAUAACCCGGCGAAAGUCGGACUAAUACCGCAUGAAGCAGGGGCCCCGCAUGGGGAUAUUUGCUAAAGAUUCAUCGCUGAUAGAUAGGCAUGCGUUCCAUUAGGCAGUUGGCGGGGUAACGGCCCACCAAACCGACGAUGGAUAGGGGUUCUGAGAGGAAGGUCCCCCACAUUGGUACUGAGACACGGACCAAACUCCUACGGGAGGCAGCAGUGAGGAAUAUUGGUCAAUGGCCGAGAGGCUGAACCAGCCAAGUCGCGUGAGGGAUGAAGGUUCUAUGGAUCGUAAACCUCUUUUAUAAGGGAAUAAAGUGCGGGACGUGUCCCGUUUUGUAUGUACCUUAUGAAUAAGGAUCGGCUAACUCCGUGCCAGCAGCCGCGGUAAUACGGAGGAUCCGAGCGUUAUCCGGAUUUAUUGGGUUUAAAGGGUGCGUAGGCGGCCUUUUAAGUCAGCGGUGAAAGUCUGUGGCUCAACCAUAGAAUUGCCGUUGAAACUGGGAGGCUUGAGUAUGUUUGAGGCAGGCGGAAUGCGUGGUGUAGCGGUGAAAUGCAUAGAUAUCACGCAGAACCCCGAUUGCGAAGGCAGCCUGCCAAGCCAUGACUGACGCUGAUGCACGAAAGCGUGGGGAUCAAACAGGAUUAGAUACCCUGGUAGUCCACGCAGUAAACGAUGAUCACUAGCUGUUUGCGAUACAGUGUAAGCGGC
RNAcentral lists this ribosomal RNA (791 nucleotides) under uncultured bacterium. RNAcentral describes it as "bacterial SSU rRNA". It matches the Rfam family "Bacterial small subunit ribosomal RNA", at positions 59 to 847 of the family's 1533-position model. The record is from RNAcentral.